Molecule: non-coding RNA, 45 nt
Filed under: Trichobilharzia regenti
Lineage: Eukaryota; Metazoa; Platyhelminthes; Trematoda; Strigeidida; Schistosomatidae
Source: RNAcentral
AGUUAACUGACGAGUCCUAAAUAAGACGAAAUGCGCAUCUUGGAU